Molecule: transfer RNA, 77 nt
Filed under: Pseudomonadota bacterium
Lineage: Bacteria; Pseudomonadati; Pseudomonadota
Description: Proteobacteria bacterium tRNA-Arg
Rfam family: tRNA
About the family: Transfer RNA (tRNA) molecules are approximately 80 nucleotides in length.
Source: RNAcentral
GCAUCCGUAGCUCAGUUGGAUAGAGCGUUGCCCUCCGAAGGCAAAGGUCGUGCGUUCGAAUCGCGCCGGGUGCACCA